CCUACGGGAGGCAGCAGUGGGGAAUCUUGCGCAAUGGGCGAAAGCCUGACGCAGCAACGCCGCGUGCGGGAAGAAGGCUUUCGGGCUGUAAACCGCUUUCAGCAGGAACGAAAAUGACGGUACCUGCAGAAGAAGGAGCGGCCAACUAUGUGCCAGCAGCCGCGGUGAUACAUAGGCUUCAAGCGUUGUCCGGAUUUAUUGGGCGUAAAGAGUUCGUAGGCGGUCAAGUAAGUCGGGUGUGAAAAUUCUGGGCUCAACCCAGAGACGCCACCCGAUACUGCUUAACUUGAGUUCGAUAGGGGAGUGGGGAAUUCCUAGUGUAGCGGUGAAAUGCGCAGAUAUUAGGAGGAACACCGGUGGCGAAGGCGCCACUCUGGAUCGAUACUGACGCUGAGGAACGAAAGCAUGGGUAGCAAACAGGAUUAGAUACCCUGGUAGUCCAUGCCGUAAACGGUGGGCACUAGGUGUGGGUUUCUAUUAACGAAAUCCGCGCCGUCGCUAACGCAUUAAGUGCCCCGCCUGGGGAGGUACGGUCGCAGACUAAACUACAAGAAGUAGACGCGNGAGACGUGCCGACGGACGACGACGAGGGAGUAG
This 597-nucleotide ribosomal RNA is filed under the name uncultured bacterium. Its description in RNAcentral is "bacterial SSU rRNA". It matches the Rfam family "Bacterial small subunit ribosomal RNA", at positions 338 to 950 of the family's 1533-position model. The record is from RNAcentral.